GUGGGGAAUAUUGCACAAUGGGCGCAAGCCUGAUGCAGCCAUGCCGCGUGUAUGAAGAAGGCCUUCGGGUUGUAAAGUACUUUCAGCGGGGAGGAAGGUGUUGUGGUUAAUAACCGCAGCAAUUGACGUUACCCGCAGAAGAAGCACCGGCUAACUCCGUGCCAGCAGCCGCGGUAAUACGGAGGGUGCAAGCGUUAAUCGGAAUUACUGGGCGUAAAGCGCACGCAGGCGGUCUGUCAAUUCGGAUGUGAAAUCCCCGGGCUCAACCUGGGAACUGCAUUCGAAACUGGCAGGCUAGAGUCUUGUAGAGGGGGGUAGAAUUCCAGGUGUAGCGGUGAAAUGCGUAGAGAUCUGGAGGAAUACCGGUGGCGAAGGCGGCCCCCUGGACAAAGACUGACGCUCAGGUGCGAAAGCGUGGGGAGCAAACAGGAUUAGAUACCCUAGUAGUCC
This 450-nucleotide ribosomal RNA is filed under the name uncultured bacterium. Its description in RNAcentral is "partial 16S ribosomal RNA". It matches the Rfam family "Bacterial small subunit ribosomal RNA", at positions 354 to 796 of the family's 1533-position model. The record is from RNAcentral.